UAAUAAGAAGCAAAAUUUGCAUUUAGUUUCGACCUAAAAGUUUAGUGAUUUAAUCACUCUUAUUUU
RNAcentral lists this transfer RNA (66 nucleotides) under Glenea cantor. Its description in RNAcentral is "tRNA-Arg". Lineage: Eukaryota; Metazoa; Arthropoda; Insecta; Coleoptera; Cerambycidae. The record is from RNAcentral.